GAUGAACGCUGGCGGCGUGCCUAAUACAUGCGAGUCGAGCGAACGGACGAGAAGCUUGCUUCUCUGAUGUUAGCGGCGGACGGGUGAGUAACACGUGGAUAACCUACCUAUAAGACUGGGAUAACUUCGGGAAACCGGAGCUAAUACCGGAUAAUAUUUUGAACCGCAUGGUUCAAAAGUGAAAGACGGUCUUGCUGUCACUUAUAGAUGGAUCCGCGCUGCAUUAGCUAGUUGGUAAGGUAACGGCUUACCAAGGCAACGAUGCAUAGCCGACCUGAGAGGGUGAUCAGCCACACUGGAACUGAGACACGGUCCAGACUCCUACGGGAGGCAGCAGUAGGGAAUCUUCCGCAAUGGGCGAAAGCCUGACGGAGCAACGCCGCGUGAGUGAUGAAGGUCUUCGGAUCGUAAAACUCUGUUAUUAGGGAAGAACAUAUGUGUAAUUAACUGUGCACAUCUUGACGGUACCUAAUCAGAAAGCCACGGCUAACUACGUG
Molecule: ribosomal RNA, 497 nt
Filed under: uncultured bacterium
Lineage: Bacteria
Description: partial 16S ribosomal RNA
Rfam family: Bacterial small subunit ribosomal RNA
Source: RNAcentral